UGCCCGCCUCGCUGUGGACCAUCACCCAUGAGUACUCACUUUCCUUCUUGGUGCUGAAGCUGGUCCACCCAGAAGCCGUGCUGCCUGCCUCGUUGUGGACUACCACUUGCACCCUUGUGUAGAUAUGUGCACAUGACUGCAGCUUCCUGAGGAGGCCAGAAGAGGGCACCACCUGCCCUGGAGCUGGAGUCAGAGCCAUGAGCUUCCCGUGUGGAUGCUGGGAGCCAAACUCAGGCCCAGAAACAAUGGAACUCAGUGGCCAUGGCCUGCGACCUCUGAAACAGCCAAAGGAAAUAUCCCCUCCUUAAGUUACCUCAAGCAUUUGUUGCAGUGGCAGGAAGCUCGUUAACAUGGACAAGGGAAGAUGGAGAAAAUAUGGACAGGAUAUGUCGAAUAGUGUAUUAGUGUGAUUUUUGCUUUUCAUCCUAGGAGACGAAUUUAGGACCUCGUGUAUGCUAGGUAGGCAUUCCACUACAGAACUGCAUUCUCCAGCUCCCUGGCCUUUGAGUUUUAACAGAUCAAUAUAAAAACCAGAAAGCAAGUACCUUCUGAACAGACAUGGAGUUACCUACUAUAAAUUCUAUGACCAAGAGAGGGGAAAGAGGCUGUACACCCAGGGCAUCUCCUAAACAUACUUGCCCAAUAAACAAAUUAAGGAUGGUUAAAAAGGCUCCUUACUUACAUUUGAUCACACUUUACAUGUGUGCAUGUAGUUAACACAACACCAUGCAUUACAGUUUAGAACUUCCCAGUAGGGAACUGUUAAAAAGGUAAGCAAGUCAGGAUGAAUCACGUUAGUUUUUUUUUGUUGUUGUUGUUUUGUUUUGAUUUUUAUGUUUCUGUUGUAACAAUGGAAAGUGUUACAGUACAAUAUGAAACUACAAAUACUUUUAAUAAUUAUAAAAUAACUGAAAUGUUUAACCAUGGAUUCUGUACUUGGCAGCGAUCAGUACAUUAAGAAUGUCAGCUCGAUUUAUUACUGAGAUAUAUACACAUUGCUGUUUUCAGUGCAAUAUGUAUUUAAUCUAACUACUGAUGGGUAUCCUCUUUUUGUUUGUUGUCCAUUAAAAAUAUAAAGCUGUUCUUUAAUUUACUCAUUUCCCUCAAAGACUAAUUACUGUAUCUUUCCUUAAAUAAUUUUAAUUACAUGAAGUGUGAACACCUGCCACUAAGCUGCCACACCUGGACAGCUGUAGCAACAGUAAGUACUCUUUGGAAACAGAGAUUGUCUUUGAGCGGAGUGUGUCAGGAGGGGCUCCUGGACUGGGGUCUUCCGAAUCAUUUUGGGUCCUUGCACCAGCAUUCCUGUGAGAUGACCCCAGAACAUGGGUUCUCAGCAUGCUUCUAGCUGAUUCUUGCAUCCAAUAUUCUUUGCAAAAUACUAUAGAACCAGGAACAGAAAUCUAGGCACAUCAUGUUUCAACUUCUCUUCAUAGAGUGUCUGUUGUGGAAUAACCUAUUUGUACACUGUGAAGAAGUGUCACUCUGAUUGGUACUAAAAAGCUGAGCAGCCAAUAGCUAGGCAGGAUUUCCAGGCACAGAGGACACUGGGAAAAGAAGGGCAGAGCCGCAAAGAGACACAGAGGAAGCAGGAAAGCAGGGUGGACAGUAUAUAGAUGAGAUAAACAAGCCUUGGGGUGGCACAGAGAUGAAUAGAAAUGGGUUCACUUAAGUUAUAAGAGCUAGCUAAAAACAAGCCUAAGCUAGCAGCUGAGCUUUCAUAAUGAAUAAGAAGUCUCAGUGUCAUUAUUGGGAGGCAAUGGUCCCGACAUAAAAGUCUGACUACAAAUGUCUGUUUAGAGUGUGUUUUGUCAUCAGCACUACCUACAAUCUUUGAAACAAACACAAAUAUGUGUGCGUGUGUGUACAAGUCCAAGGUAACAUCAGGUGUCUUUGCCGAUUACUCUCCACCUUAUUUCUUGAGACAGGGUCCCUCACUUGGACCUUGACCGGCCAGUGAGCCCCAGGAAUCCUAGUGGUUUCAACAGCACUAGGAUCAUUAGUAUGUGCUACUACUUUUGCUUAUUUUUUACUAGAAUCUAGGUUCGAACUCAUGACCUCAUGCUUGCAUGGGAUGCACUUAACUUUGGUGACAUUCUCUCACACAUUUCAUUGUGUAGUGUCUGAUUAAAAAUGUUCCUUGUGGGAUGUUUGAUUAAGAAGCAUUUCGAUGAUUCUGAGGACAAGUUCAUUUCAUGUAGCAGUAAGAAAGAGACCUCAUUGUUUAUAAAAACCAGAGAAUGAAAAUACAGUGUUAACAAUUCACAUCAGAAAUUUAAAAAAAAUACAACAUAGAGCAGGCAUGCCAGUCAUUAAUCAGUGGAGUAAAUAGGCUGCAUGUUAACAGGCAAACAAUUAAAUUAUUUGUUUCCCAGGGGCAUGGAAUGUGAUUGUUAUCACACUCCCACGAGGGAGACAAAUAGAUAUUAAAAGGGUCUUUCCAAUACCUGUAUUGGCUUGGGCCAACAGCUAAUUCAAUAGAUUCGAUCACAGUCCGCACUUCCUACAUGGCUCCUGAUUUAUGGCUCUGGCACUCCUUAGUCAUCAGUCAGUGCAGUUUGCUCCCCGGCAUUCAUAAAUUAUGCCUCAUAAAUAAAAAGAUACAAUCAAGGAAAUCCUAUCGGUCCCUCUACAGUCUUGGAGUGUGUUCCCUUGGCACUCACGCUAAUGCCUUUUUAAGGGGUAGCUUGCCAUGGGUUUUGAAUAUGUUUGAAUAGUAACAUACCAGAAUGGGCUUUGCCAGGACUAGGUAGAGAGUUUCGUGGCUCAAGAGAGAAAGCCAUGAGUCUGUGAUUGCGUGGCUAUGGGACUGUUUUGUUUUGUGAAGAGCCUGCAGGCUCCAGCCGGGCAGGACUACUUGUUGGAGGGCUUUGUGAAGCUGCCUGCUUCGUUAUCUGCUUGUCUGACUCUUUCACCAUCAAAUGGGCUUUGCCCAGCGCCUCUGUUUGCCGGAUACCUUGCUGGUCUAGGGGAAUCUCUCCCGUACAGAGUCCCUGCAUUCCUGUCUCCUUUCACCCAAAACACUCUGGAUCAGGCAAGAAGAAACAUGAUUUUAAUUGAAUUCUGGUACCCAGGGGAAGAACGGGAUAGGAGUACAUUGUCUCGUUUUUCUACUGGCACUUUUGGAAUUCAGAGAUACGAAGUUACUAAAGAACUUAGGAGACAUUUCCCGUGUUAGAAACGGCCGUCUACUCUCUCUACCCGCUGAGGCCACUGCUGCACUGGCUGGGCUGCUCCGUAGAUGCAACUUGGACUCUGUUCCAAACUAGGAGGUGGGAGAACCGACUUAAAUAGAGUGGGAGACACUGAAUUAACCUUAAUUCACGCUUUGUAAGAAUGAAGGUUUGGAGUUUACUGCUUGCUAAGUUUUGUGCUGUCUGUUCCACUUUGGAGGAAACAGGAACUUGAUAUCAUUUAGUUUUCAGAGGGAAUGCACAGGAGGAGGAAACCGGCUCCCUUCAUCCUUUAUCUUGCUUGUUACAUGUGCUAUUAGGUGUGUGUGUCUGACCCAUGGACUGCCCUGGGCCCCAAGAGUCAAACUGACCCAACACAAAAUUGUAAACAUACUGAAAGCAUUGUGAGAUUUUUGUUGUUGUUAUUGUUGUUGUAGCUAGAUUACGUGGCUCUCCAGCACGAACUUUGUAGAUGAGAGAAUCAGGUUGUGAUGUCAAGAGGUUCGUCAUCCUCCUUGUAGUUAAUCAUUUCAUCAAGGUAUUUAAUCAUUCCAACAAUGCCAUGCAGUGGGCAUUAAUACUGUCAUUCCACAAGGGAACUGAAGUGUAUAGAAGGAUAUGCAAUUUGCUAAGUGUAGGGCAUGCUCUCCAGUAGAAGUGUGUGAUACGAGCCCAAACCCAGGACUCCUUCCUACUUGAUGCUAUGAUAGUUAAUUUCACCUGUCAGUUUUACAGGAUCCAGAAUGACCAGGGAAAGCAGCCUGAGUGAGGGGCUGUGCAGAUUAGGCUGGCCUCUGAGCAUGCCUGUGAGAGAUUACCUUUGUAGUGUUGAGGUGGCAUUGGCUCACCACUGGGCUUUGGACUGAAUCAAAAGAGGGGAAAGGCCGCAGGCCUCCAUCUCUACUUUUUGAGUGCAGAUUUCAUCACGUUGAACACAAUGACAAAUACAGCCUGUCUGGUGCAGCCCUGAAAGUAUGCACUGUCUCCACAGAGAGUGGCUAGGGUGAGCCAAGACUGUACACUUCACUGGGUGUUAUAGUUUGAACCCUGUUGCUUUGAUAAAACACCCUGACCAAUGCAGACUGUGGAGAAAAGAACUCAUUUGGCUUACCUUUGAGGUCAUAGUCUGUCAUCAAGGGUCAUUAGGCAAAGGACGCAAGCUGGAGCUUGAAGCGGAAAGCCUAGAGGAAUGCUGACUGCUGGACCACUCUGACUCUCUCACGGGACCAUGCUUAGCUAAUCACAUACCUGCUAAGGGAUGGUGCCGCCCAUAGAGGGCUGGACCCUCCUACGUCCGUUAUCAAUCAGGACAAUCCCUAAUGGACGUGCUGACAGGUUAACCUGAUAAUAGCAGUAUUUGAGUAACCAAGUCUCCUUUUUCAGGUGAUUAUAGGUUGUAUCAAGUGGUCAGUUAAUGCUAACUAGGACACUGGGUAAGAUAAUUAUCCAUGAAUUUAACAGAUACUGAUUAAGCCACGUCUGUGUGUCAGACACUGGUUUCCAAUCUGGCAUACCACAGUAAUCAAGGAUGGAGCAAACAUCCAAGUGAGGAGAGGUAAUCCACAAGAACAGACACAGACAAGUAAUAAUUCAAGCUAGGGAGGAAAUGAUG
Peromyscus californicus insignis is the source of this 4785-nucleotide long non-coding RNA. RefSeq lists it as uncharacterized. NCBI's taxonomy places the organism in Eukaryota, Metazoa, Chordata, Mammalia, Rodentia, Cricetidae. The transcript is spliced from 3 exons. The record is from RefSeq and is a predicted model, not a curated record.